Long non-coding RNA from Xenopus laevis (African clawed frog), 2190 nucleotides. RefSeq lists it as uncharacterized. NCBI's taxonomy places the organism in Eukaryota, Metazoa, Chordata, Amphibia, Anura, Pipidae. The record is from RefSeq and is a predicted model, not a curated record. The transcript is spliced from 2 exons.
ACAAAACAAAGCCUUUUUGUCAAAACUCGCCUUAAAAAAAUCAUGGUGACUAACCUCCUCAUCGGUCAGUACUCGUGUAACUAUCCCUUUAAGAUAGAGGCCCAAACCUUUGAGCAUCUCCAGGUGUUCACUUGUCCUUUAUUUUUAUUUUUUUUGGCUUUUUCCCAGUGGCCAUGAACUUUGUUUUUAUUGACCAAAUGUUUGGUUUCCCUCAUUUCUGGAGCUAGCAUUUCCAGGAGGUCUGAAGGCAUCUCCCUCCCCUACUUCUUGGGUUCAAGUUACCCUUUAUGAUCCAACAAUCGGCCAGGCCACCCAGGCAAGUAGAAGGUUACAAAUUCAUGAAAACAGAAAAUUAAAAUUUAUUGACUCUGUAUGCUAACGUCUUACUCCACUUCUUACACACCAGCCUCACAUUUUCAGACCAAAACAGGAAAAUAGAGAAGUUUUCAAAUUACUGUCAGUACUCGUUGUAUUUGUAGUAUGCAAUUGAGACACAGAAAUGUUCACAUUCUGGCAUGUAGUGUUUUUUUUUAGAGUCUAAACACCACAGAACUCAUGAGACAUUUAAGCUUCACUAACAUCAGUGACCUCUUGGCCUAACAUGACCUAAGUAAUUUAUAUUUGACUAUAGAUCUGGGAAAAUCCCACCAGGUGAGGAGAAUACCUGCCCAUAGAUGAUGUCCUUCGCUUAUGGGCCUAGAGCCAAUUUGUUUGUCCCAGGGCAAAUUUAUCGGACCAAUUGGUGGCUUUACCAAACAAUAGGAUCUACUCGUUUGCAGUAAUUUUAAAACAUUUAGUAGAGUAAACAGUCUGCACAAGUUCCAGAAAUUCAAAACAGCCAAUUAGACAUUUUCUUACAACCUGCUGAUGUGUUGGGUUUCUUUACCUGGUGACAACUUUGUGACUUUUAUCCCAUUGUGACAUUCAUUUUUAGGCAAAGAAAUGGUUCACCAAGUAGGAACUCAGACAACUUUCUAGAUUAAUUCUAGGUGAAGACUUGCUAUGGACUCAUGGAUAUCUCCAUCUGCUGUUCUUAAAUCCAAAAGUAGGAGGCAGGAUGUGUUGGAGGUCAUUUGAACACAAUUAUGAAGAAUGAACAGAAACUUUUCUUUGCAAAAAAAAAAAAAUUCAAGGUUCAGCUUCUGACAAAGCAAAAAUCAAGGUAACGUGCAUUUCAAACCUUGAAUAAAGAUAAAUGUCAUGGGGAAGAAAAACAAAAUCAAAAAAAUAGAUGCUUCCAUCCACAUCUAUACUGAUGGCAAUGACAUUAACACAAAUGUAGGUUCAAGAUGAUGACAUUUAGUGCUCAGCCUCUAGGGGGACAUUUUUAUACAAUGUGCUGGGGUGACUCAGAUCCCCCCUAGUCAGAUACCAAAAAAAAAUAUGUGAAAUGAAAUUAUCCAUAUGCUAAGCAGUGAUUCAAGACACAGAAUAGAUUUACUGGGUUUUCAUUAUUAAUGUUUUCACCUAUUUCUUUAUGCAUUGAGUCUACCGUAUCCUAAUAUUCACCAGAAUUGCAAAGUCCUCUGUACAACACACCAGCAAGGGUACCGCUGGAGAAAUGCCCUUACAAUGAUAUUUUUAUGUUCACCCGCCUGCUCAAGGGGUCUGUUGACUAAUGUGAUACCGUCAUCCAGUGUUGGACAGGGGGAGGGUCCUACUUGAAAACCAGAGACUCACCUCAGCUAAGAGGGGCCCUCUGUCACUUCAAUUGACCAUACCCACUUCCAGCACUUUUAUUUGCACUGCCACUGAUUGAUCGCUGGAAUCCAGACCCCAGCACUCCACCAAGGCACUUUAUAGACUUUCCAUUUGAGCGGACCAUGGGACCAGGACCAGGUCCCACCGGAUUUUCUCCCAUUGGGCCAGUCCGACACUGCCAUCAUCUCACAAUGUUUUGGCCCCUGUUAGGGGCACUGUCUCCAUGAGGCGAGUUGAGAAACUCAACUCAGGUGGCAGCAGCCCUCAAGUUAGCAGGGGCAGCAAAAAAGCAGCUCCUGGUAAUUUAGGAGCUGAAACUCAGAUUUCUUUUCUGUGUAUUUCCUUUACUUUUACAAAUCAAACGUGUUUGUGUAUUUCAUGUGUGGCCCCAGGCAAUUUUUAUUUUUCCAAUGUGGCCCUGCGAGCCAAAAGUUUGGACAAACCUGAUAUAAACAAAGGAAUAAAUGCUUUUACGUAGGGCUAUCCCAC